GUUUUUAAUGGCCGCGGUAUUUUGACCGUGCAAAGGUAGCAUAAUCAUUAGUCUAUUAAUUGUGGACUUGUAUGAAUGGUUGGACGAAAUAUUAACUGUCUCAUAUUUACUUAUUUUGAAUUUAAAUUUUAAGUUAAAAUGCUUAGAUAUAUUUAUUGGACGAGAAGACCCUAUAGAUCUUUAUUUUUAUUGUUUUAUUUAUUUUUGGAUUAUAUUUAUUUAUAAAUCAUAAAAUUUUUUGUUGGGGUGAUGUGGAGAUAUGUAAAACUCUUUAUUUAUAAAAUCAUUUAUUUUUGUAUAUUUGACCUUUUGUUAUUGUUAUAAGAUAUAGAUACCUUAGGGAUAACAGCGUAAUUCUUUUUGAGAGUUCUUAUCGACAAAAGAGAUUGCGACCUCGAUGUUGGAUUAAGAUUACAUUUUAAUAUAUUUGAUGUAGUAGUCUAUAUGGUAGGUCUGUUCGACCUUUAAAUUCUUACAUGAUCUGAGUU
This 488-nucleotide ribosomal RNA is filed under the name Taraxippus sp. SB0540. RNAcentral's name for it is "partial large subunit ribosomal RNA". It matches the Rfam family "Bacterial large subunit ribosomal RNA", at positions 1920 to 2611 of the family's 2925-position model. The record is from RNAcentral. Lineage: Eukaryota; Metazoa; Arthropoda; Insecta; Phasmatodea; Pseudophasmatidae.